Gasterosteus aculeatus aculeatus (three-spined stickleback) is the source of this 951-nucleotide long non-coding RNA. The record is from Ensembl. Lineage: Eukaryota; Metazoa; Chordata; Actinopteri; Perciformes; Gasterosteidae.
GCUCUCGCUGCGUUGACAACUGAAGCAACGAAAUAAAAGGAUUGUCUACCAAACCUGCUGUGUCCUGCCUGUACCCCAAAGAACAUACACCGUGACAUCUGCAUUUCUGCAGACGUGGUCUCAGGGAACUGCAGCAAUGGGACAUUAAACACAGGUUCAUUCAUCUAAGCCGGAGACCGAUGAGGACAGAUCAACAAAGAGGAUAUAAACAAGGGGGCGCUGGUCUUGGGCCGAUGCCUCACCUGGCGUGCAACGUGACCCGGAGCCGGAGAUGCUGCCGCGCUGGAAGCAGGCGGCCGCCCUGCAGCCGUUCUUCAGAGGUCACUCUGCAAAGGGGACGAAGCUGUUUGGGGAGAAAGUCACCGCCGCCGUCCGCACUGCGAUCCAACAGAGCUUCUCUGACUGUUUCAGUCAAAUGAGUCACAGCCAUUUGGAUCCACCAGGAACGACUGCUUUCCCUUAAUGAAUAUCAUCUCCUAGGUCUUUUUUCAAUUAGCGUGAAAAAACAAUAAACAGGACGAAUCGUCAAAAUGUGUCUUAGUGGACAAAGAGGAGGUCCUGUUUGCUGCCUUACUGGUUUACUCUGUUCCACCUGGCUCACACCUCCGUCUGCCUCCCUCUGCUGCCCAGUGGAAGUGGAGCACUGCUGGCCAGUCCUGUAACCAAGCCGCGUGUUCAAGCUGUGCGAGUCCUUCUUCCUGGAUCUGGUGAGGUAAAUCAAGCAGCAGGUUUGGUACGACGUCCUCACUGCAAAGGCGCAUAAAGGAGGCCGGACUCUGGGUCUGCCCGUCACCCUGGACACAGUUUCUGUGUUCCAGCGUGGCGGCUCGGUGGUCUGCAGGUCAACAGGAAGUGGUUCCUGCACAGCCGAACAGCAGCAGCUCCCCCUCUCGAUCACGGUGGCCCUGAACUCUGAGAUAUCUGAGAAUGUCUAUGAGGAGGACGUCCUCC